This 252-nucleotide ribosomal RNA is filed under the name uncultured bacterium. Its description in RNAcentral is "partial 16S ribosomal RNA". It matches the Rfam family "Bacterial small subunit ribosomal RNA", at positions 524 to 776 of the family's 1533-position model. The record is from RNAcentral.
UACGUAGGGCGCAAGCGUUGUCCGGAAUUAUUGGGCGUAAAGAGCUCGUAGGCGGCUUGUCACGUCGGGUGUGAAAGCCCGGGGCUUACCCCGGGUCUGCAUUCGAUACGGGCUAGCUAGAGUGUGGUAGGGGAGAUCGGAAUUCCUGGUGUAGCGGUGAAAUGCGCAGAUAUCAGGAGGAACACCGGUGGCGAAGGCGGAUCUCUGGGCCAUUACUGACGCUGAGGAGCGAAAGCGUGGGGAGCGAACAGG